This is a long non-coding RNA of Vigna unguiculata (cowpea), 3206 nucleotides long. RefSeq lists it as uncharacterized. The record is from RefSeq and is a predicted model, not a curated record. NCBI's taxonomy places the organism in Eukaryota, Viridiplantae, Streptophyta, Magnoliopsida, Fabales, Fabaceae.
UCAGUUUGGUAACUGCUAUUGGAGUGGGAGAGGAGAGCACGUUAAUAUUAGGGGGAGAACUGCCAUUUGUGAGGGGUUCUCAUUUUCUCUCUGUAAACAGAUAGACAAAAAACUCACACAAAUAUUUUCAAGGAGGAUUGAAAUUGUCUCAUAGUUCUAGUUUUUUUUUAAGAACCUAGAAUUGUAGCAAAGCGGAAAACCAAAAGGAUAGCCAACAGCAUCUAGAGUCAGAAACCAGAGGACAACAGUGAUAGAAAAGACAAAACUGAGGCAUAACAUAAACAGGUACGCAAUUUCUAUCUAUGGGAAAUAUGAAUUUCAUGAGAAAAGUAGAAUAUUCUGAAUUCAUAUGAAGUAAUUAAUAAGCCAUUAAAAACAAAGACAGUAGAAAUAGAAAGGCUGGGUUUAAAGAAAUUGAAAUGGAGAAGAAUUAGGGGAGACCGCCGGUGAACAGAAUAGCGAUGGUGGUUUUUUUUUUUUUGUUUUUUUUAGUAUUUACAACGAUGAUGCUUUCGUUCGUCUCCGGUGAGACUGUGGUAUUUUUGAUCGAUGGUUUUUAUUCCUCUGCUUGUGCGUUUGAGAGGAGAACACGUGAAGCCCUAGUGUGAAACUGAAAAAGGGAGAGGAAGUAGUUGCCAGUGCCGCCGCAGCCGCAGGUGGUGAUGCGACGAGGGUGGCCGGCGCCGUCUGUGGCAACGUAGGCGGUCUUGUGGUCUUGUGAACGUCAGCCUGCAAUGUAAUGGUGAAGGAGAAAAGAUGGAACCCUAACACUAGAAGAAGAGCGGCGCUGACGGCGAGGGUUCCGGCUGCGAGAAUGGUGACGCCGCUGUUGGCCAAACGGAGGAGAUGCGAACAUAAGGCCAUGCCGUGGUGCUCCGCGCGACUGAGGGAUGCGAGCAGGAGAACAGCAUCGCCGCUGUUGGUGAUGAUGCGACGGACCUCCGAUGCCGAUCGACGCCGUCGCCGGCGGCCCUGGCAGUGAGUGACACGUUGAUGUUCCUGGUUAGCAGCGUGAGGUGGAAGAUCAAGUUGGUGAAAUUUUUUUACGGUACUCUUUGAAAAAGUUGAAGCAGUCCACCUCCUCCACCUACCCUGAUCAAAUGCAUGCUUUAGGAUUGGAAGAAAGGACCACUAAAAUAUUGACUUUUGGGGUCCCAAAAGAGGGAUAAGACCCAAAGAGAAAAGUUAACCCUUCAAGCUAAAAAGAAGAAAAGAAAAACUAUGAUUAUGGUUCUGUGUGUGAGUGACAGUGGGAUUGGUGAGUAUCCUAGGCACGCAGGCAAAGUCUUAGAACAAAGGAAUCAUUUUAAGACAAACAAAACCAAAUAAUUUAGCAUGUUAUUAUGGCUCAUUCACUAGCUCAGUGUCUUUUUGUAGUGUGAUCAAACGUUCUUUUCUUUUGUUCGGGUAACAUGUCAGAACUUUUUCUUCUUCCAUAUCUUAAUUGUGAUGGAUCUUGCGAGAAAAUUGGAGAGCUAUUUGGUGUUUCAUGAGAAAAUAUGAAACUCAAGAACAACAUUGAGAAUAAAUUUCACUUCUUUCUUGAUAUGGCUUUUCCUUAUGCCAUUUUAACUACCCUUAUCACCUUGAUUUGUUUAACUUGGUGCUUCUGCUGAUGAUGCCAAUAAGCCAUAGCAAUCCCUUUGUUUCCAGCUGAAACAAGGAUAAUAGUUCUUGACCCAUUUAGCUGAAAUUCUUCAACUAUUUCCGUUGAAGAGAAUGCUCAAAGCCUCUCUGCAGAUAAUACCAGAAAAAUUAUGAUAUCACUUUUACAUGAAAAAUAUGCAUACUUUUGUUCUGUACAUCUCAAACAAGUGCAACUUAAAUACAGAGAGCCAUAGCAAAAUUGACAGAGAAGUAAAAACUGGUGUCACUUUAGACCCAACAGGGUUCGUGGUGUUUCAUGCUAUGUGAAGACCGCUGAAGAAGAUGUCAUUGGCCUCAACGAGUUUUGGAUCUUUGCAUGCCAACCCGUUCACCAACACUGCCAUAAUAUUCAUCAAAAACCAUGGUGAACAUAAACUUUAAAGUAAUAUUAUUACAUCUAACUAUCAUAAAAGAAAAUAAUCAUAAAAAAAUAACUUUUGUAUCUGCUAUAUAUACCUUUCUCUUGUGGGUCUGCCACACAGAAAUCUUGGAAUGUACUGGUAGCAGCUGCUAGAAUAACUGAAAGUGAAAGAGCCAAAACUGUCAGAAAAAAUGAGGGAAUAGCCAUUUGAGAAUAGCACAAAAGCACUAUACUCGUCGAGCUCCACUUUGACGGCGAGGAGUGGUUGGUGCUGCUCCGGGUAACCGCGACGCGAAGAAAGGAGGGGGAGGCGAGCAGCGUUGCCACGACGUGAAGAAAGGAGGGGCAGAAGCUAACACCACUAAGAGUGAUAAGUGGCGGUGAAGGAAUUGCACCUAUGGCUCAACCUCAAUUUCACAAAAUUGAGAAACGGAUCUCAAGAUCCGUUUUAGCUUCUUUAUUUUUUAGUUUUUUCUUUAAACGGAUUUUGCAGAUCCGUUUCACAAAAACCAAAAACGGAUUUCAAUUUUCGUUUUGUUGUUUUGUUGUUUUUAAUGAGUGUGUGUUUUCACUGAAAUGGAUGUUGAAAUCCGUUUCAGAGAAGUGUGAAACGAAUCUUAAAAUCCGUUUCAUUAAAUUUUCAAAAAUAUUUAGUGAAACGGAUGUCGAAAUCCGUUUCACACUUCUCUGAAACGGUUUUGGACAUCCGUUUGGUAAAAAAAGCCAUAUAAAACAGAAACGGAUGCUGAAAUCCGUUUCAGAGAAGUAUGAAACGGAUCUCAAAAUCUGUUUCAUUAAAAAAUUUAAUGAAACGAAUUUUGAAAUCCGUUUCAUACUUCUCUGAAACAGAUUUCAACAUCCGUUUCAUUAAAAAACCCAGAAAAUGAAUAAAUCUGUUUCGCAUUGUAUUGAACAUCAGUCAUCAUCACAAAAUGAAAUAUAACUCCAUACAACAGAGAAAGAUUCCAAAAGACCAUUAAUAAAAAACGAAUACUAAUCUGGAACGUGCAAAGAACGAGGAAAGCUUUAAAAAAUUUGAACCAUGUGUGGAUGACCUUGGAGAGUUUGGAGCACCUGAAGCAGGACCCAGUUCACACAGAAUGAAACCAAGGACCACUACCACUGCAAAAGAACUUUCAAAUGAAAAUGAAAGAGAGAAAGUUGGGACCACUGCUCUGAGAAUAAUAAUGAGACCGGA